This 207-nucleotide ribosomal RNA is filed under the name uncultured bacterium. RNAcentral's name for it is "partial 16S ribosomal RNA". It matches the Rfam family "Bacterial small subunit ribosomal RNA", at positions 568 to 774 of the family's 1533-position model. The record is from RNAcentral. RNAcentral also lists the same sequence under 1 other name.
UGCGUAGGCGGCUUUUUAAGUCGGAUGUGAAAUCCCCGAGCUUAACUUGGGAAUUGCAUUCGAUACUGGGAAGCUAGAGUAUGGGAGAGGAUGGUAGAAUUCCAGGUGUAGCGGUGAAAUGCGUAGAGAUCUGGAGGAAUACCGAUGGCGAAGGCAGCCAUCUGGCCUAAUACUGACGCUGAGGUACGAAAGCAUGGGGAGCAAACA